GUGCCAGCAGCCGCGGUAAGACAGAGGGUGCAAGCGUUGUUCGGAAUUAUUGGGCGUAAAGCGCGCGUAGGCGGCGGGGUAAGUCGAAUGUGAAAUCCCGUGGCUCAACCAUGGAAGUGCAUUCGAAACUACCUUGCUCGAGUGUCGGAGAGGGUGGUGGAAUUCCCAGUGUAGAGGUGAAAUUCGUAGAUAUUGGGAGGAACACCAGUGGCGAAGGCGACCGCCUGGACGACAACUGACGCUGAGGCGCGAGAGCGUGGGGAGCAAACAGGAUUAGAUACCCCCGUAGUCC
Molecule: ribosomal RNA, 292 nt
Filed under: uncultured bacterium
Lineage: Bacteria
Description: partial 16S ribosomal RNA
Rfam family: Bacterial small subunit ribosomal RNA
Source: RNAcentral